This 235-nucleotide ribosomal RNA is filed under the name uncultured bacterium. RNAcentral describes it as "partial 16S ribosomal RNA". It matches the Rfam family "Bacterial small subunit ribosomal RNA", at positions 57 to 305 of the family's 1533-position model. The record is from RNAcentral.
GCCAGUCGAACGGUCUCUUCGGCGGCAGUGGCAGACGGGUGAGUAACGCGUGGGAAUCUACCUAUCUCUACGGAACAACAGUUGGAAACGACUGCUAAUACCGUAUACGCCCCUAAGUUUUGGUGAUUUAGGGGGAAAGAUUUAUCGGAGAUAGAUGAGCCCGCGUUAGAUUAGCUAGUUGGUGAGGUAAUGGCUCACCAAGGCGACGAUCUAUAGCUGGUCUGAGAGGAUGAGC